This 217-nucleotide long non-coding RNA is filed under the name Physcomitrium patens. Its description in RNAcentral is "long non-coding RNA (PPAT_LNC003164)". The record is from RNAcentral. Lineage: Eukaryota; Viridiplantae; Streptophyta; Bryopsida; Funariales; Funariaceae.
UUUUCUAUUUCACCACUAAUCUCCCUCCUCAGAUGAGCUACUGAAGACUGACUCAUUCCAAGUGAGUCUGCAACUUUUCUUGUAGAAACACCACUCCUAAGCUGCACCAAUGCUUGGUUCUUCAAUGAUUCACACAACCGAGGCAUAGAGAUACAAUUGACAAAUCAACUUUCACUAUAGAUAGUACACAACAAGAGCAACACAACAAACAAAAAAU